AGUGAACGCUGGCGGUAGGCCUAACACAUGCAAGUCGAACGGCAGCACAGUAAGAGCUUGCUCUUACGGGUGGCGAGUGGCGGACGGGUGAGGAAUACAUCGGAAUCUACUUUUUCGUGGGGGAUAACGUAGGGAAACUUACGCUAAUACCGCAUACGACCUACGGGUGAAAGCAGGGGAUCUUCGGACCUUGCGCGAUUGAAUGAGCCGAUGUCGGAUUAGCUAGUUGGCGGGGUAAAGGCCCACCAAGGCGACGAUCCGUAGCUGGUCUGAGAGGAUGAUCAGCCACACUGGAACUGAGACACGGUCCAGAAUCCUAAGGGAGGCAGCAGUGGGGAAUAUUGGACAAGGGGCGCAAGCCUGAUCCAGCCAUACCGCGUGGGUGAAGAAGGCCUUCGGGUUGUAAAGCCCUUUUGUUGGGAAAGAAAAGCAGCAGGUUAAUACCCCGCUGUUCUGACGGUACCCAAAGAAGAAGCACCGGCUAACUUCGU
RNAcentral lists this ribosomal RNA (491 nucleotides) under uncultured bacterium. RNAcentral's name for it is "partial 16S ribosomal RNA". It matches the Rfam family "Bacterial small subunit ribosomal RNA", at positions 29 to 506 of the family's 1533-position model. The record is from RNAcentral.